Chrysemys picta bellii (western painted turtle) is the source of this 2074-nucleotide non-coding RNA. The record is from RefSeq and is a predicted model, not a curated record. Lineage: Eukaryota; Metazoa; Chordata; Testudines; Emydidae.
AGCUGCUGCCAGGGAUGUUUCUGGUGAGAACAUUGUGGAGGUAGGGUGAAACUAAACGGAAUCAGGGAAGCUAAGCUACUUUCCUGGAUAUGAUGGAUCCUGACACUUUCAGGAAUCACUGGAGAAAACAGUGGGGUUCGCAGCUCGAGCUACAGUGAACCAUGACUCAGUCCGGAAGAAGUACUGCAGAUUACAUUUAACACAAAUGCCAUGAAGUCUUCCAUACACUUAUAUGGACAGUUAAGGUUUUGGCUGUACCCAACACCAUGAGCAGCUGCUCUGACUUCAGUCAGACAAUCAAGCAUUUCUUUGGACCAAUUCACUGCACACUCGUCUUUUAAUUGGGACGAGAACCAUACCCAGCAUCAAGAUUUAUUCAAUGUCUUACCUUGGAACACUGGGAGGAGCCCGCGUUGGCCGAGAUGGAACCUGAGGUGGCGUCCCAAGGCCUUCACUGUUGUUAGGAAAUGGAGGUAAUGGUCCUGGACGGAAUGGGACCGGUGGAGCCCCAGACAGAGGGCCUGGUGAUGGGACUGCUGGAGCAGGUCCUCGGCCAGAUAAAGGUCUGGUUGGGGGAUUAUUUAAUGUAGGCCUUCUUUGAGUUGAAGGACUUGGAGGGGGUGAUCUAGUGAACAAUCAGAGAUUAAUGAAAAUCUACAUGGUCUUCAAAAAUGGAAGCCAAAUACUUUCUGAAACCUGUAACAAUCUUGUAAACAUUUUCCUCUGCUCUCAUAUUGUCUUGGUCCUGAAGAGUAUAAUUUAGGCAGCCCGCUAUCUCACAGAGCUAGUAUCAUAUAUUCUUGCAAUGACAACACUCUCAUUUUCCUUUGUUCUGGAUGGUGCCUUCCAUGCUCCCAUCCAUUCCAAAGAAAUGCUCAGAGAUGCUUCCAAGUCUCAAAAUAAUAUCUAUUCCCUCACCCCCUCUACAAAAUGUACACUCAACCCUUCACUAUCACACCAUCCCUAGAAAGUAAGCAUUAUUAAGGUCAGAAUCAGGUGUACAAUCACAAGGAUAAAUAUAAUGGUUUUAGUAUUGUCAAUAUUCUAACACCAAUUUGUUAGGUGGAUUUAAUAAGAAGGCCACUUUCUUUUCAAGGAAACCAUAGGUAAGGAACACUGAAAUCUUCCAGUGACUUGAAAGAACCAAAAAGUGGACACAAAAAUUGACUUAGGUUUCACAGAGGGGUGGGGUUGCCUGAGCUUGGGAAGAGAAGAGUUAAAAACCCUUAAAGAAACUGAGAUGCUGUAGGGUGGGAGCAUAAAUGAUUAUAUUAUUUGAGCCAUAGCAACCAAAUGGAAUAUCAACUGAGUCACAAACAAAGUACAGUAGAUGGUAUUCUCAAAGGCAGAAAAGAGAUUACAAGCACCUUUCUUGAUACAUAUACCUCUUCCAUUUAUCCACGUAAUAUGAACGUGUGGAAGAAUUUGUAAAAAACUUGGACUAUAUACAGGCCGGAUAUCUUUUGGUGAAGGAGACACAUACUACAGUAGCUCCAUGGAAGACAAUUCUAGAUGAUGAAUCCCAAAGCUGCUUGACAUAUCCAAAAAUGGAUUGCCAGGUCCAACAGAUUCAUAUACCAGAACCCUCUCCCCAAGAGGUUUAUAAGCACCCUUUUCUCCAUGUCCCUUCUAGAACAAAACAGGACAGGAAAUAUCUGGAAUGAAGGCUGGUGACUUAACUGGUAGGACCUUCCACUGUGCAAAGACAAAUUCUGAGCAUAUGGUUGUUAAAAUUCAGCUCACCUGUGAGGUUUUUAGGAUUACCCAGUACAAGAAUUCCACCUGCACGCUCCCAUCCCUCAACAAGAGUUCUCUGAUUCUCUCAAGAAUUUCAUUUGAGACAUGGAGAAAGGCUUGCCAGAGAAGGAGAUGUAGCUGUGCUGAAGAUCUAGCUCUUUGUCUUAAUUUCCACUGCAAAACUGAUCUGAAGAUCCUUACCUGCGGGAUUGCUGUAGCCAGGAAUCAUCAACUGGAGGUGGGGCAGGGAUAGAUACAGUGCUAGUGCUAAUAUCUCCAAUGAUUGCCAGUGCUUCUUUUAGGGCUUGGUACAGGCGAAGCCCCUCAUCUCGCCUCU